This 207-nucleotide long non-coding RNA is filed under the name Gossypium raimondii (Peruvian cotton). RNAcentral describes it as "long non-coding RNA (GRAI_LNC005296)". The record is from RNAcentral. Lineage: Eukaryota; Viridiplantae; Streptophyta; Magnoliopsida; Malvales; Malvaceae.
AUAGAGUUCCUUUGCAACUAUAUGUGGACUUAUAACUUUGGUAGCAGACCACUACUUUCUUUGAGUAAUUAAUUUUUACGAUUAAGUAUACAAUUUGUAAGACCCUGAAGUUUGGGGUUAGAAGUUUUGAGUUUUAUGGUUAGGGUCAGUGAGAAGUUUCGCUAUUCUGUUUAGGUCCGCAUUCAAGUGAUAAAAUGACCCACUGGU